Lolium perenne is the source of this 229-nucleotide long non-coding RNA. RefSeq lists it as uncharacterized. The record is from RefSeq and is a predicted model, not a curated record. NCBI's taxonomy places the organism in Eukaryota, Viridiplantae, Streptophyta, Magnoliopsida, Poales, Poaceae.
GGGAUUUCUUUGAUUAAUCAGAAUGACACACAUCUUGUGCAGAGAAACCGUAACUCUGAUAGUAGCGAUGAGGAUGGAUGUGACUCUGAAGAAGAAAUAAUUGUACUUGAGGCUGUGAGUUCAAUUAUAAAAAGAAGUCUAAAACGAAAGCGCAGACCUAGUAAUAUUCACAAGCAGAAAAGGACGGUGAGUUGUCAAUCUGUGCUUAAUUUAUUUUCUAAUUUUUGCA